CCUACGGGAGGCAGCAGUGGGGAAUAUUGGGCAAUGGAGGAAACUCUGACCCAGCGACGCCGCGUGCGGGAUGAAGGCCUUCGGGUUGUAAACCGCUUUCAGUAGGGAAGAAGCGAAAGUGACGGUACCUACAAAAGAAGCACCGGCUAACUAUGUGCCAGCAGCCGCGGUAAUACAUAGGGUGCAAGCGUUGUCCGGAAUUAUUGGGCGUAAAGAGCUCGUAGGUCGUUUGUUACGUCGGAUGUGAAAACCUGAGGCUCAACCUCAGGCCUGCAUUCGAUACGGGCAAACUAGAGUGUGGUAGGGGAGACUGGAAUUCCUGGUGUAGCGGUGGAAUGCGCAGAUAUCAGGAGGAACACCAAUGGCGAAGGCAGGUCUCUGGGCCAAUACUGACACUGAGGAGCGAAAGUCUGGGGAGCGAACAGGAUUAGAUACCCUGGUAGUCCAGACCGUAAACGGUGGGCACUAGUUGUGGGAACCUUCCACGGUUUCUGCGACGCAGCUAACGCAUUAAGUGCCCCGCCUGGGGAGUACGAUCGCAAGAUUAAAACUCAAAGGAAUUGACGG
This 567-nucleotide ribosomal RNA is filed under the name uncultured Actinomycetes bacterium. RNAcentral describes it as "bacterial SSU rRNA". It matches the Rfam family "Bacterial small subunit ribosomal RNA", at positions 338 to 916 of the family's 1533-position model. The record is from RNAcentral. Lineage: Bacteria; Bacillati; Actinomycetota; Actinomycetes.